UUUCGCCUCGUCGCUUCCCUUCUCUCUCCCCCUCCCUCUCCUCCUCCUCCUCCUCCUCCUCCUCCUCCCUCGCUGCACCUCGCGCGUUCAGUCUCUCCGCUUCCUCUCUCUCCCCCGCUCCUGACAUGUCGAGCCCGCCCCAACCCGCGCGCCCCGACCAGCCGCCGUCCACGGGCAUUCACGCUCCCGGCGCCGGUCGCUGGAGGCCGAUGUGUCUGUACCACGCCCAGGGGAAGUGCACCAUGAU
RNAcentral lists this long non-coding RNA (247 nucleotides) under Eucalyptus grandis. RNAcentral's name for it is "long non-coding RNA (EGRA_LNC002117)". Lineage: Eukaryota; Viridiplantae; Streptophyta; Magnoliopsida; Myrtales; Myrtaceae. The record is from RNAcentral.